This 1275-nucleotide ribosomal RNA is filed under the name metagenome. RNAcentral's name for it is "bacterial LSU rRNA". It matches the Rfam family "Bacterial large subunit ribosomal RNA", at positions 1641 to 2925 of the family's 2925-position model. The record is from RNAcentral.
UCCGUACCGCAAACCGACACAGGUAGUUGAGGAGAGAAUCCUAAGGUGUGCGAGAGAACUCUCGUUAAGGAACUCGGCAAAAUGACCCCGUAACUUCGGGAGAAGGGGUGCUGACCGCAAGGUCAGCCGCAGUGAAUAGGCCCAAGCGACUGUUUAUCAAAAACACAGGUCUCUGCAAAAUCGAAAGGUGACGUAUAGGGGCUGACGCCUGCCCGGUGCUGGAAGGUUAAGAGGAGAGGUUAGCGCAAGCGAAGCUUUGAAUUGAAGCCCCAGUAAACGGCGGCCGUAACAAUAACGGUCCUAAGGUAGCGAAAUUCCUUGUCGGGUAAGUUCCGACCCGCACGAAAGGCGUAACGAUUUGGGCGCUGUCUCAACGAGAGACUCGGUGAAAUUAUAGUACCAGUGAAGAUGCUGGUUACCCGCGACAGGACGGAAAGACCCCAUGGAGCUUUACUGCAGUUUGAUAUUGCGUGUUUGUAUCACAUGUACAGGAUAGGUAGGAGCCGAAGAUACCGGGACGCCAGUCUCGGAGGAGGCAACGGUGGGAUACUACCCUUGUGAUAUGACCACUCUAACCCGCUGCUCUUAGCGAGCAGGGAGACAGUGUCAGACGGGCAGUUUGACUGGGGCGGUCGCCUCCAAAAAUGUAACGGAGGCGCCCAAAGGUUCCCUCAGAAUGGUUGGAAAUCAUUCGUAGAGUGUAAAGGCAGAAGGGAGCUUGACUGCGAGACCUACAAGUCGAGCAGGGACGAAAGUCGGGCUUAGUGAUCCGGUGGUUCCGCAUGGAAGGGCCAUCGCUCAACGGAUAAAAGCUACCCUGGGGAUAACAGGCUUAUCUCCCCCAAGAGUUCACAUCGACGGGGAGGUUUGGCACCUCGAUGUCGGCUCAUCGCAUCCUGGGGCUGUAGUCGGUCCCAAGGGUUGGGCUGUUCGCCCAUUAAAGCGGUACGCGAGCUGGGUUCAGAACGUCGUGAGACAGUUCGGUCCCUAUCCGUCGCGGGCGUUGGAAAUUUGAGAGGAGCUGUCCUUAGUACGAGAGGACCGGGAUGGACACACCGCUGGUGUACCAGUUGUUCUGCCAAGAGCAUCGCUGGGUAGCUAUGUGUGGACGGGAUAAACGCUGAAAGCUUCUAAGCGUGAAGCCCCCCUCAAGAUGAGAUUUCCCAUCACUUUAAGUGAGUAAGACCCCUGAGAGAUGAUCAGGUAGAUAGGUUGGGAGUGGAAGUACAGCGAUGUAUGGAGCGGACCAAUACUAAUCGGUCGAGGACUUAACCG